CUACGUAGGGUGCGAGCGUUGUCCGGAAUUACUGGGCGUAAAGAGCUCGUAGGUGGUUUGUCGCGUCGUCUGUGAAAUUCCGGGGCUUAACUCCGGGCGUGCAGGCGAUACGGGCAUAACUUGAGUACUGUAGGGGAGACUGGAAUUCCUGGUGUAGCGGUGAAAUGCGCAGAUAUCAGGAGGAACACCGGUGGCGAAGGCGGGUCUCUGGGCAGUAACUGACGCUGAGGAGCGAAAGCAUGGGUAGCGAACAGGAUUAGAUACCCUGGUAGUCCUGGCCGUAAACGGUGGGCGCUAGGUGUAGGGGUCUUCCACGACUUCUGUGCCGUAGCUAACGCAUUAAGCGCCCCGCCUGGGGAGUACGGCCGCAAGGCUAAAACUCAAAGGAAUUGACGGGG
This 398-nucleotide ribosomal RNA is filed under the name uncultured bacterium. RNAcentral's name for it is "partial 16S ribosomal RNA". It matches the Rfam family "Bacterial small subunit ribosomal RNA", at positions 523 to 918 of the family's 1533-position model. The record is from RNAcentral.